This 244-nucleotide unclassified non-coding RNA is filed under the name uncultured fungus. RNAcentral describes it as "sequence contains ITS1, 5.8S rRNA gene". The stretch from base 196 to 244 matches the Rfam family "5.8S ribosomal RNA", at positions 1 to 49 of the family's 154-position model. Lineage: Eukaryota; Fungi. The record is from RNAcentral.
UCUCCGUAGGUGAACCUGCGGAGGGAUCAUUACAGAGUUCAUGCCCUCACGGGUAGAUCUCCCACCCUAUGUUAUUACAACGAUGUUGCUUUGGCAGGCCGCCUCUCGAGGCUACCGGCUCCGGCUGGUGCGCGCCUGCCAGAGAACCCCAAACUCUGUGUUUAGUGUCGUCUGAGUAUUAUAUUAAUACGUUAAAACUUUCAACAACGGAUCUCUUGGUUCUGGCAUCGAUGAAGAACGCAGC